Molecule: ribosomal RNA, 253 nt
Filed under: uncultured bacterium
Lineage: Bacteria
Description: partial 16S ribosomal RNA
Rfam family: Bacterial small subunit ribosomal RNA
Source: RNAcentral
UACGAAGGGGGCUAGCGUUGUUCGGAAUUACUGGGCGUAAAGCGCGCGCAGGCGGCUAUCCAAGUCAGUGGUGAAAGCCCGGAGCUCAACUCCGGAACUGCCAUUGAAACUGUUUAGCUUGAGGACGAGAGAGGUGAGUGGAAUUCCCAGUGUAGAGGUGAAAUGCGUAGAUAUGUGGAGGAACAUCAGUGGCGAAGGCGGCUUCCUGGCUUAAAACUGACACUGUGGCGCGAAAGCGUGGGUCGCAAACAGG